CCGACAACACAUUUGAAUGGAUGGACAACAACAACUUCGUCGGCUGCAUGACCACAGCAAUCCCAUAACUGGGAAUCAUCAAUAAUGUGAUUUGACGCAUUUACAUGCACUUCGGUAAGGCGAUCGUCAGAAAAAAAAUGGUUUCCGUGGUUCAUUCAAUUGUUUCGAUUUCUUUCCGCGUACAUGACUUAAAACUCUCGGUCUCAGUAGGAGGCCUUCCGGCAGUCCUACCAGAAACCUGCUGGCAUUCAAUUUACGAGGCCUUGAGAGCGUCUGAUUGGCUGAAGGAAACAGGAAGUGUUUUAGUAGCCGGAAGAAAUUGUUGUGUUCUUGAACGUGCUGAGGUGCAGACGUCUUUUUUUCCCUUUCAAUAAAACUGCAUUCAAAGGAAUACAUCUCUCCUUUUGCCGUUCGUAAAGUAGCGCCAUCCCUUCAGAAACAACGAACCCCUUAACUUACACAUGCAACGGCUAUGGCGACAUUUUUGAGAGGUUCAUAGGCCAUGAGCGACAUCUACUGGUGAAA
Molecule: long non-coding RNA, 525 nt
Organism: Hippocampus comes (tiger tail seahorse)
Lineage: Eukaryota; Metazoa; Chordata; Actinopteri; Syngnathiformes; Syngnathidae
Exons: 2
Source: RefSeq, a predicted model, not a curated record